UACGUAGGGGGCAAGCGUUGUCCGGAUUUAUUGGGCGUAAAGAGCGUGUAGGCGGCUUUGCAGGUCGGUUGUGAAAACUCGAGGCUCAACCUCGAGACGCCGGUGGAAACCGUAAGGCUAGAGUCCGGAAGAGGAGAGUGGAAUUCCUGGUGUAGCGGUGAAAUGCGCAGAUAUCAGGAGGAACACCCGUGGCGAAAGCGGCUCUCUGGGACGGUACUGACGCUGAGACGCGAAAGCGUGGGGAGCAAACAGG
RNAcentral lists this ribosomal RNA (253 nucleotides) under uncultured bacterium. Its description in RNAcentral is "partial 16S ribosomal RNA". It matches the Rfam family "Bacterial small subunit ribosomal RNA", at positions 524 to 776 of the family's 1533-position model. The record is from RNAcentral.